RNAcentral lists this ribosomal RNA (301 nucleotides) under uncultured bacterium. RNAcentral's name for it is "partial 16S ribosomal RNA". It matches the Rfam family "Bacterial small subunit ribosomal RNA", at positions 509 to 807 of the family's 1533-position model. The record is from RNAcentral.
CAGUAGCCACGGUAAUACGAAGGGUGCAAGCGUUAAUCGGAAUUACUGGGCGUAAAGCGUGCGUAGGCGGUGAGUUAAGUCUGCUGUGAAAUCCCCGGGCUCAACCUGGGAAUGGCAGUGGAUACUGGCUCGCUAGAGUGUGUCAGAGGAUGGUGGAAUUCCCGGUGUAGCAGUGAAAUGCGUAGAGAUCGGAAGGAACAUCUGUGGCGAAGGCGACUAUCUGGGCCAACACUGACACUGAGGCACGAAAGCGUGGGGAGCAAACAGGAUUAGAUACCCCGGUAGUCCCUGUCUCUUAUAC